GACGAACGCUGGCGGCGUGCUUAACACAUGCAAGUCGAGCGGUAAGGCCCUUUCGGGGGUACACGAGCGGCGAACGGGUGAGUAACACGUGGGUGACCUGCCCUCAGCUCUGGGAUAAGCCUGGGAAACCGGGUCUAAUACUGGAUAUGACUCCAUGACGCAUGUUGUGGGGUGGAAAGCCUUGUGCGGCUGAGGAUGGGCCCGCGGCCUAUCAGCUUGUUGGUGGGGGAUGGCCUACCAAGGCGACGACGGGUAGCCGGCCUGAGAGGGCGACCGGCCACACUGGGACUGAGACACGGCCCAGACUCCUACGGGAGGCAGCAGUGGGGAAUCUUGCGCAAUGGGCGAAAGCCUGACGCAGCGACGCCGCGUGAGGGAUGACGGCCUCGGU
Molecule: ribosomal RNA, 391 nt
Filed under: uncultured bacterium
Lineage: Bacteria
Description: bacterial SSU rRNA
Rfam family: Bacterial small subunit ribosomal RNA
Source: RNAcentral